This 274-nucleotide ribosomal RNA is filed under the name uncultured bacterium. RNAcentral's name for it is "partial 16S ribosomal RNA". It matches the Rfam family "Bacterial small subunit ribosomal RNA", at positions 523 to 796 of the family's 1533-position model. The record is from RNAcentral.
AUACGGAGGGUGCAAGCGUUAUUCGGAAUCACUGGGCGUAAAGGACGCGUAGGCGGGUUGGCAAGUCAGAUGUGAAAUCCUACAGCUUAACUGUAGAACUGCAUUUGAAACUGCUAACCUAGAGUAUGGGAGGGGGAGAUGGAAUUAGUGGUGUAGGGGUAAAAUCCGUAGAUAUCACUAGGAAUACCGAAAGCGAAGGCGAUCUCCUGGAACAUAACUGACGCUGAGGCGUGAAAGCGUGGGGAGCAAACAGGAUUAGAUACCCUAGUAGUCC